RNAcentral lists this long non-coding RNA (281 nucleotides) under Coffea arabica (coffee). Its description in RNAcentral is "long non-coding RNA (CARA_LNC000125)". Lineage: Eukaryota; Viridiplantae; Streptophyta; Magnoliopsida; Gentianales; Rubiaceae. The record is from RNAcentral.
AAAAACCUCCACAUAAACACCCUAAUUUUCAUAACUAAAGUGGAAAUUACCUUUUGAACCGGCUGAGUUACCGGCAGCAGGUCAAAUACUCUCGUCUAACCCGUGGCCUGCUAAAUUAGUAGGAAUUGACAAUCCAAUGUAUAUCCAGAAACGAAACGUAAGCUUGAAAGCUUUGCCUUGGAACUUUGAAUCAAAAGCACUCUAAGUGUACACGGAAACCUUUGACAGGACUCGGAAGAAAAAAAAUAAAACUGGAACUUGAUAUACCAAAUGCAGACCUU